This 742-nucleotide ribosomal RNA is filed under the name Celeribacter sp. RNAcentral's name for it is "bacterial SSU rRNA". It matches the Rfam family "Bacterial small subunit ribosomal RNA", at positions 221 to 969 of the family's 1533-position model. Lineage: Bacteria; Pseudomonadati; Pseudomonadota; Alphaproteobacteria; Rhodobacterales; Roseobacteraceae. The record is from RNAcentral.
AGGGAUCGGCCCGCGUUAGAUUAGUUAGUUGGUGGGGUAAUGGCCUACCAAGACUACGAUCUAUAGCUGGUUUGAGAGGAUGAUCAGCAACACUGGGACUGAGACACGGCCCAGACUCCUACGGGAGGCAGCAGUGGGGAAUCUUAGACAAUGGGGGCAACCCUGAUCUAGCGAUGCCGCGUGAGUGAUGAAGGCCUUAGGGUCGUAAAGCUCUUUCGCCUGUGAUGAUAAUGACAGUAGCAGGUAAAGAAACCCCGGCUAACUCCGUGCCAGCAGCCGCGGUAAUACGGAGGGGGUUAGCGUUGUUCGGAAUUACUGGGCGUAAAGCGCACGUAGGCGGAUUAGUCAGUCAGAGGUGAAAUCCCAGGGCUCAACCCUGGAACUGCCUUUGAUACUGCUAGUCUUGAGUUCGAGAGAGGUAAGUGGAAUUCCGAGUGUAGAGGUGAAAUUCGUAGAUAUUCGGAGGAACACCAGUGGCGAAGGCGGCUUACUGGCUCGAUACUGACGCUGAGGUGCGAAAGUGUGGGGAGCAAACAGGAUUAGAUACCCUGGUAGUCCACACCGUAAACGAUGAAUGCCAGUCGUCGGGUAGCAUGCUAUUCCGGUGACACACCCUAACGGGAUUAAAGCAUUCCCGCCUGGUGGAGUACGGGUCGCCAAGAUUAACAACUCCAAAGGAAUUUGACCGGGGGCCCCGCCCCAAGCCGGUGGGAGCCAUGUUGGUUUUAAUUUCGAAAGCAAA